GGGCCUGUAGUCUAGCCAGGCCAGGACGGUGGGCUCCAGACCCAUUGGUCGGGGUUCAAAUCCCCGCAGGCCCA
This 74-nucleotide transfer RNA is filed under the name Nanobdella aerobiophila. Its description in RNAcentral is "tRNA-Trp". It matches the Rfam family "tRNA". From Rfam's summary of the family: Transfer RNA (tRNA) molecules are approximately 80 nucleotides in length. Their secondary structure includes four short double-helical elements and three loops (D, anti-codon, and T loops). Lineage: Archaea; Nanobdellati; Nanobdellota; Nanobdellia; Nanobdellales; Nanobdellaceae. The record is from RNAcentral.